RNAcentral lists this long non-coding RNA (1097 nucleotides) under Anser brachyrhynchus (Pink-footed goose). RNAcentral's name for it is "lncRNA (ENSABRG00000018530.1)". Lineage: Eukaryota; Metazoa; Chordata; Aves; Anseriformes; Anatidae. The record is from RNAcentral.
UCCUCUCCCUCCCCUUUCCCUUCCUCCUCUUUCCUGUCAAGAGGUGAGCAAAGGUUAAAAACUUAUAAAUUUUACUCAUUUUUAAAAGCUUAUGUUUUAAAUGCCAUUUUGAAUUGAUUUUUCCAUCUCAUUUUUCAUAGAUUUAUGGUGAUGAUAAAGCUAAUGCAUGCAUAGUGUUUAGAUAUUCAAGCAUGUUAAAUGUUAUCCUUCUCUUAGCAGAAGAUGCAUAGGAUAUUAUCAACUUUUUUCAGGUCUUUCAUUUAUCCCGAAGAGCAGUUUAGUUUGUGUGAGACCACACUACCAGUCUGUUUUGGGUUUUCCAGAAAGUCACAAUCCGCUAAAUGAUCAUUUGGCUUGGACAUAAUCCUGCUGUUCAUGAUUCUGGAAGUCUCAGAAUGCUGUUUAGUCCCAGAGCUCUUACAAAGAGACAUCAGAGAAUAAGACACAGAAGGCACAUGGGAGAAAAAAUUAAAAACUAUGUUAUAACAGAAGGACAUAAAUAAGGUAUGGAACAGGUUUAUGGAACUCUACACAUCUUCUGAGCUUUUCCACCACAGCUGUUAAAUCUGCAGCUGUAAGUGACCUUCUAUUGCAGACAGCCCCAGGAGUAUGACCUGUGUUCUCUGAGCCCCGUUGGGUGUGAAGGAAUCUGUUGUGUACAACAGAUCUGUUUCAUUGCACAAAACCAAUGAGAAAAAAAUAGGAUUUCAUGGCCAAAGGAAUAGAGAAACAGUGAAUCUGUUUUUCUAGAUAAAUCCCCACAUUUUGGCAGUAUUAUUAAAAAAUAUUCCAAGUGUCAGAAGUAUCAUAAAAAUUUUGGAAAUCAUACUCCACAGGAUUUUGACAGUGGCUGCAAUUUUAAGAAGUUGUUUGAAAAACCUGAUAUUCAAUGUUUUAUUUCAAAUCCCAGAUUGUUAGAAAGAAAAGGAAAGAAAAAAAGAGAUGGCUUAAGUAUAUUGGCUUUUUUUUUGGCUGUAUUUACGUAAUGUGUUUGUGUAAUUCCACAAACUCGAAAACUUGAACCAAAGUCUGCCAACAGUGUGCUUUUAAAGAAACAAAUGAAUAAAAGAUUUCAUAACGUUUUGAGUGAUUUAUAU